CACUGGUACUCGAGUGGCGAACGGGUGAGUAACACGUGGGUGAUCUGCCUUGCACUCUGGGAUAAGCUUGGGAAACUGGGUCUAAUACCGGAUAGGAACCGUCUUUAGUGUGGUGGUUGGAAAGUUUUUUCGGUGCAAGAUGAGCUCGCGGCCUAUCAGCUUGUUGGUGGGGUAAUGGCCUACCAAGGCGUCGACGGGUAGCCGGCCUGAGAGGGUGUACGGCCACAUUGGGACUGAGAUACGGCCCAAG
This 250-nucleotide ribosomal RNA is filed under the name uncultured Actinomycetales bacterium. Its description in RNAcentral is "partial 16S ribosomal RNA". It matches the Rfam family "Bacterial small subunit ribosomal RNA", at positions 81 to 335 of the family's 1533-position model. Lineage: Bacteria; Bacillati; Actinomycetota; Actinomycetes; Actinomycetales. The record is from RNAcentral.